This is a non-coding RNA of Pangasianodon gigas (Mekong giant catfish), 72 nucleotides long. The record is from the annotation of a GenBank genome assembly. NCBI's taxonomy places the organism in Eukaryota, Metazoa, Chordata, Actinopteri, Siluriformes, Pangasiidae.
GUGUUGGUGGCUCAGUGGUUAAGACUUUGGACUUGUAAUCAGAAGGUUAUGAGUUGAAAUCUCAGCAAUGCU